Molecule: ribosomal RNA, 403 nt
Filed under: uncultured Shewanella sp.
Lineage: Bacteria; Pseudomonadati; Pseudomonadota; Gammaproteobacteria; Alteromonadales; Shewanellaceae
Description: bacterial SSU rRNA
Rfam family: Bacterial small subunit ribosomal RNA
Source: RNAcentral
CCGCCUGGGGAGUACGGCCGCAAGGUUAAAACUCAAAUGAAUUGACGGGGGCCCGCACAAGCGGUGGAGCAUGUGGUUUAAUUCGAUGCAACGCGAAGAACCUUACCUACUCUUGACAUCCACAGAAGACUGCAGAGAUGCGGUUGUGCCUUCGGGAACUGUGAGACAGGUGCUGCAUGGCUGUCGUCAGCUCGUGUUGUGAAAUGUUGGGUUAAGUCCCGCAACGAGCGCAACCCCUAUCCUUAUUUGCCAGCACGUAAUGGUGGGAACUCUAGGGAGACUGCCGGUGAUAAACCGGAGGAAGAUGGGGACGACGUCAAAGUCAUCAUGGCCCUUACGAGUAGGGCUACACACGUGCUACAAAUGGCGAGUACAGAGGGUUGCAAAAGCCGCGAGGUGGAGC